AACCGCGAACGGCUCAUUACAACAACUACGAUCCACUUGAUCUUGACGCUCCUAGUUGGAUAACUGAGGUAAUUCUUGAGCUAAUACAUGAACCACACCCCCGCCAGGGGGGCAUUUAUUUGAACAAAGCCAUUGUCGCCUCGGCGGCAUCCCGUUGACUCAGAAUAACUCGGCUGAUCGCAUGGCUGCGGCCGGCGACGUGUCUUUCGAGCAUUUGCCUUAUCAACUUGUCGGUAGCGUAACUGGCUACCGUGGUGCUAACGGGUAACGGAGGAUCAGGGUUCGACUCCGGAGAAGGGGCCUGAGAAAUGGCCACUACGUCUAAGGAUGGCAGCAGGCGCGCAAAUUAUCCACUCUCGGCACGAGGAGAUAGUGACGGGAAAUAUCGAGACCUGCCCCUUUGGGGCUGGUCAUCGGAAUGGGUACAACCUAAACCCUUUAACGAGUAUCUAUGAGAGGGCAAGUCUGGUGCCAGCAGCCGCGGUAAUUCCAGCUCUCAAACUGAAUAGGACCAUUGCUGCGGUUAAAAAGCUCGUAGUUGGAUCUGUGCGCGGGACCCGGUCCACACCCCGUGUGCAACUGGGACGCCCCGUGCUUAUGGUCGGUUGCCCCUGUUUCGGCUUCAGUGCUGGGACUCGGGCGGCUGACGCGUUUACUUUGAACAAAUCAGAGUGCUCAAGACAGGCGCAUGCCUGAAUGCUGGCGCAUGGAAUAAUGGAAGAGGAUCUCGGUCCGCUUUCGUUGGUUUUACGGCCGAGAUAAUGGUUAAUAGAGACAGACGGGGGCAUCUGUAUUUCUGCGUGAGAGGUGAAAUUUUUGGACCGCAGAAGGACAAACGACAGCGAAAGCAUUUGCCAAGCAUGUCUUCAUUAAUCAAGAACGAAAGUCAGAGGAUCGAAGGCGAUUAGAUACCGCCCUAGUUCUGACCGUAAACGAUGCCAACUAGCGAUCCGUCGGUGGAUGUUCUCGUCCUCGAUGGGGAGCUUCCCGGAAACGAAAGUCUUCCGGUUCCGGGGGAAGUAUGGUUGCAAAGCUGAAACUUAAAGGAAUUGACGGAAGGGCACCACCAGGAGUGGAGCCUGCGGCUUAAUUUGACUCAACACGGGAAACCUCACCCGGGCAGGACACCGCAGGGAUUGACAAGCUGAAGCCUUUUCAUGAUUCGGUGGAUGGUGGUGCAUGGCCGUUCUUAGUUCGUGGAGUGAUCUGUCUGGUUUAUUCCGUUAACGAGCGAGACUCUAGUCUGCUAACUAGUUCGGGUGCUAUCGCAGCGCUCGCAACUUCUUAGAGGGAUGUCCGGCUUCCAGCCGGAAGAAACGGAGCAAUAACAGGUCUGUGAUGCCCUUAGAUGUCCGGGGCUGCACGCGCGCUACACUGGCGGAAUCAGCGUGCCCAUCCUGCGCCGAGAGGCGUGGGUAAUCCGUGGAAAAUCCGCCGUGAUUGGGAUCGGAGAUUGCAAUUA
RNAcentral lists this ribosomal RNA (1462 nucleotides) under Sakia arboris. RNAcentral describes it as "SSU rRNA". It matches the Rfam family "Eukaryotic small subunit ribosomal RNA", at positions 85 to 1592 of the family's 1831-position model. The record is from RNAcentral. Lineage: Eukaryota; Metazoa; Nematoda; Chromadorea; Rhabditida; Tylenchidae.